Molecule: long non-coding RNA, 351 nt
Organism: Prosopis cineraria
Lineage: Eukaryota; Viridiplantae; Streptophyta; Magnoliopsida; Fabales; Fabaceae
Exons: 2
Source: RefSeq, a predicted model, not a curated record
AUUAAAUUCAAACCUAUAGUUUUUUUUUAAUAUAAUUUUGGGACUCACAAUCCCAGUUUUUAUAUUAUUUUUCUCUCUUCCUCUCACGUUGCUCGGCGUUUUCUCGCAAGGGAGGAUUAUUUUCUUUUUCUUCAGGAGCGAGUCCGGCCGAGAAAGCACCAGAGGUGUAACUAUAGUGUAUGAGACACCAUCUUUUACGUUGCCUCUUAUUUUGGAUUAUACAAUGUAUCUUGUGCCAACUUAGGACAUAUCUUCUUUGUGAAGCAUGUAAACUCUAAUCCUUUUUAUUAAAAGUAUUUAUAUGACCAAGAGGAUUAUAUCUGUCCCUCUUGAUUCAUGACCUGAUUUAAA